This 495-nucleotide ribosomal RNA is filed under the name uncultured bacterium. RNAcentral's name for it is "partial 16S ribosomal RNA". It matches the Rfam family "Bacterial small subunit ribosomal RNA", at positions 28 to 507 of the family's 1533-position model. The record is from RNAcentral.
GACGAACGCUGGCGGCGUGCCUAAUACAUGCAAGUAGAACGCUGAGGGAGGAGCUUUCUCUUCUGGAUGAGUUGCGAACGGGUGAGUAACGCGUAGGGAACCUGCCUGUUAGCGGGGGGGAACUAUUGGGGAAGAUGGCUAAUACCGCGGAAAAGUAGAUGUUGCAUGAGAUUUACUUAUAAAGGACAAUUUCAUCACUACCAGUUGGUCCUUCGUUGUAUUAGCUAGUUGGUGGUGUAACGGCUCACCAAGGCGACGAUACAUAGCCGACCUGGGAGGGGGAUCGGCCCACCCGGGACCGAGACAAGGCCCAGACUCCCACGGGAGGCAGCAGUAGGGAAUCCUCGGCAAUGGACGGAAGUCUGACCGAGCAAAGCCGCGUGAGUGAAGAAGGUUUUCGGAUCGUAAAGAUCUGUUGUAAGAGAAGAACGAGUGUGAGAGUGGAAAGUUCACACUGUGACGGUAUCUUAUCAGAAAGGGACGGCUAACUACGUG